This 1483-nucleotide long non-coding RNA is filed under the name Gadus morhua (Atlantic cod). Its description in RNAcentral is "lncRNA (ENSGMOG00000035099.1)". Lineage: Eukaryota; Metazoa; Chordata; Actinopteri; Gadiformes; Gadidae. The record is from RNAcentral.
AAACCUUAAUGCUCUCGUUUUAACAGUAUGUUUAUAUACCCUCAAAUAGAAAAACAAAUUAAAUUUCCUACUUAAUUUAUCCAAUUGAUCAACCUCAAAGACAAAGUGAUAUAUUGAAUAUUGCCCUUAUAUGACAUUCUCUAAACGUAUACCGAUAUUCUUGUAGCCGAAAUUCUUAUAGUUUCAAACUACUGCUUUCUCAUGUGUCGUGUUGAGGCUUGCGUUGCAGAGAAUGAGUGCUUCCCACCGAUCAAAAGUCAUCAGACAGGCAUGUGUAGAGUAGAUCAAGGGCAUAUCUUGAAAUGUUCAGAUGAAAGGAGUCUAGUGAUUGUAAUGUGAAAGUGUAAAUAUUACCAAUAAAUGGGACAUGGCCUAAAAGCUUCAGUUUUCAAAUAUUAUUCAACGUACAAAUAAUUUGAACAGAGUCCAGUUUGCAUUCAAUGCAUUGACUGGUCAUCAUGGUUGGCUAUCAUCAAGGUUUUUUCUCCCUCACAUUGGUCUCUUGGGUCGAUUACACAGGAUACUAGAUGGAGGGGUACGGAGGCCUGAGCCGCAGCCUGUGCUUUGGUCCUCUGUCCCAGCCUGCAGAGAGGAUCCUGGCCGCCCUGCGGGCCCAGGCUCUGCCCCCACCCAGAAACAGAAGCAACCACCGCUACAGCCGGCGUGAGUCGAGACAGGAACAGUCGGAGUCACUGUGACCUGGUUUGCAAGAGAGAGACACUAGUGCUUUCCGCCACGAUUACAUGCCAACACAUUUGAAACAAUGGCAGCAGUUCCAAGAUGGAUAUCUGUGGCUGGCCAAAAAUAUCGUAUUGAACUAGUUCCAUUCGCAACCAUUUCAAAUUAAACACUUGUUAAAUAUUGUGAUAAGGCAAUCAAAAAUGGAGUUUACAUAAAUUGAUUCUUGUAGUAUUCUGUAGCGGUCAUUGUUAUGCCGUUUUAUCUCCGAUGUUAGAAGUCGAUGAGGGCUAUGGAACUCAGAGGGAGCACUUGGUGCAGGCUGGCUGGAACACAACUCAGCAUAGGAUGCAAGGCAGGGAAACUGAACGACCUGGCUCGCAAACCCAGCCAUAUUCCUCCUCAUCCUGGCCGAGAACCCCAUCAUACUCAUCCGCGGCCACCAGUUGGGACUCCUCCCAGCAGACAGAUCACUCUCAGAACCCAGACUCCUUUGGCAGUACCUCAAGUAAGACACGGCCGUGCCUUCCCAGCAAAGACUACAACCAGCUCCUGUCCCAGUCUGAUUCCCGCCUCAGGAACCUACCAUACGCGAGCCACACCCUCUCGUCUCCCCAAAGAGCUGUGGUCUUGCCGGCUCCAGGAGGAUCUCAAAGUAAUGGUUGGUCUCUGCACAGGCCUGGCCUGCCUGCUCAGCAAGACACUAGCCCCUGGAAGAGGUGAGCAAGGCAGGGAGGAAUCUGAAAGGUGGUGUCGGUUUACAUUUAUAUUAAAAGCCGAGCCAGUGUAUUUUGCAUGAUUGUGU